CGAGUCGACUCGAAACCUAAUGGCUAGUUGUGCAAAAAUUCAAAAAUAAUUUAUAGUAGCUAGUUUUUAUCUCUAAUGACUAGUUUAGCUCUUUCAAUGGCCAAAAUUUUUUUUCUAACUAAUUUUAAGUAUAUUAAAAGCUAGAGAAUCAAUUGAGAAAGUAGCUAAGUGGAUUGAAAAGAAAAAUUUAUCAAAUUAAGGGAGG
RNAcentral lists this long non-coding RNA (205 nucleotides) under Elaeis guineensis (African oil palm). Its description in RNAcentral is "long non-coding RNA (EGUI_LNC048594)". The record is from RNAcentral. Lineage: Eukaryota; Viridiplantae; Streptophyta; Magnoliopsida; Arecales; Arecaceae.